Molecule: long non-coding RNA, 3100 nt
Organism: Clupea harengus (Atlantic herring)
Lineage: Eukaryota; Metazoa; Chordata; Actinopteri; Clupeiformes; Clupeidae
Source: Ensembl
CUGAGGAUGGAUCAGAAGAAGACUGGAAUGAAAGUGAGGAGGCCAGUGUAGACCUAGACUUGCUCUUCCUGAAGGACAAUGUAAAGACUGACAUAGAUAGAGGAAAAGAAAGGAGAUUGGAAGAGGAGAACAAAUCAAGACAGCUAGAAGUGGAGACACAGAGAGAAAUUAAAACUGUGAGACUGAAAGAAGAGGAGAGCAAGAGGAUAGCCAUGGUGGAAAAACUGAAAGAGGACGAAGGGAGGAAGAGAGGGAUGGAAGCAGAAAUGGAGAGAAAGGAACAGGAGGAGAGGCUGAGAGAAAAGGAAAGGACCAAACUAAGAGAAGAGGAGAGAAAGAAAAAAGAGAUGCAAGAGAAGACAAAGAGAGAGCUGGAGCAGAUAACACAAAGAGAGAGGGAGGAGAAGGGGAAGAAAGCCAAAGUGGCCAAGAAAUUACUUCAGGCACGUGACAGCGAUGACAUUGACAUAGAGAGCUUGAGUGAUGAAGAUAUGUGGAAGGAUAAGGAGCUCCCAAUGGACCAAAAGAAAAGGCAGACAAAAGACGAAAAGGAACAUGCAUGGCUACAGGAAAAACACAACAAAGAGAAGGAGGAUGAGAAUCCUUGUAACAGGGAUUGCAGUGACCCCAAGACUGUGACUAAUUCAAAUAGUUUGUGGAUGCAUAAGGCCAAGAGCCCAAAGCUGUCAGUCAACAAUGCAUGGAAGAUCCAGCAAUUUGAUAAUACAGAGACUGAUAAUGUCAAACAAGGUCAUUCUGAGGAAGGCGACACACUUGUGAUGACACUCAGUAAUGAUGAUAUGAAUACAUGGACCCAGCUAAAGGCAAAAACAGAUGAAGAGGACGCAGAGAGAGAGAAACAGAGGCAGAUGGAUGAAAAGAGGAUGAGAGAGGUGGACAAUGGAGGAAAGAAAAAAGAGAGAAAACAAGGAGAGAUGGUAGCACAGAAAGAAAACAAGCCACCCAAGAUGAGCAGAGACUUAGAAAUCGUCCAAAAGAUACAGGAGGAAAGAAAGAAAAAAGAGAUGGAGAAAGCAGCACAGAAGGAGCAAAAAGAGGACGAGAGGAGAAAGAUAGAGAUUGAGGAGGAGAAAGCAAGAGAGGAGGAGAGAAAAGUGAGAGAAAGGGAGGAGAUGAGAAAGACUGAAGAGGUGAUGAACAGGAGGGGGGAGGCUCUGUCAGGAGACAGCAAUGACAGCGACUGGGCGACUGACUCCGAUGACUUGUGGAUGGAUGAGUUGGAGAGACGGGAAACAGAAAGAAAGAGAGAGGAGAUUGAGAAAGUGAGAGUGGAGACAGAGCAAAAAAGAGAGGAACAGGAAAGAAGGAUGGAGGAGAUGGAGCGAAAAAGAGAGGAAGCAGAAAUUGAAAUACACAAAAAAAGGGAGAGGGAGAAACAUGAAGACCAGAGGCAAAAAGGAAAGGAGAGACAAGAGGGAAGUGAGAAUUCAGGAAAAGAAAAGAAGGAGAAGAUGGAGAAGAAGGAGGAUGAGAAAGUCAAAGAGCCACAGACGAGAGACGAGAGGAACACAGAUAUGAUGCGGGAAAUAGAGGAUGAGACCUCCCAGCUGUGGAAGUCCAUGGGACUAUCCUUUGAAGACACUGAGGAUGGAUCAGAAGAAGACUGGAAUGAAAGUGAGGAGGCCAGUGUAGACCUAGACUUGCUCUUCCUGAAGGACAAUGGAAAUACCGAAAUAGAUAGAGGAAAAGAAAGGAGAUUGGAAGAGGAGAACAAAUCAAGACAGCUAGAAGUGGAGAGACAGAGAGAAGUGAAAACUGUGAGACUGAAAGAAGAGGAGAGCAAGAGGAAAGCCAUGAUGGAAAAACUGAAAGAGGAUGAAGGGAGGAAGAGAGGGAUGGAAGCAGAAAUGGAGAGAAAGGAACAGGAGGAGAGGCUGAGAGAGAAAGAAAGGGCCAAACUAAGAGAAGAGGAGAGAAAGAAAAAAGAGAUGCAAGAGAAGACAAGAAGAGGGCUGGAGCAGAUAACACAAAGAGAGAGGGAGGAGAAGGGGAAGAAAGCCAAAGUGGCCAAGAAAUUAAUCCAGGCAUGUGACAGCGAUGACAUUGACGUAGAGAGCUUGAGUGAUGAAGAUAUGUGGAAGGAUAAGGAGCUCCCAAUGGACCAAAAGAAAAGGCAGACAAAAGACGAAAAGGAACAUGCAUGGCUACAGGAAAAACACAACAAAGAGAAGGAGGAUGAGAAUCCUUGUAACAGGGAUUGCAGUGACUCCAAGACUGUGACUAAUUCAAAUAGUUUGUGGAUGCAUAAGGCCAAGAGCCCAACGCUGUCAGUCAACAAUGCAUGGAAGAUCCAGCAAUUUGAUAACACAGAGACUGAUAAUGUCAAACAAGGUCAUUCUGAGGCAGGCGACACACUUGUGAUGACACUGAGUAAUGAUGAUAUGAAUACAUGGACCCAGCUAAAGGCAAAAACAGAUGAAGAGGACGCAGAGAGAGAGAAACAGAGGCAGAUGGAGGAAAAGAGGAUGAGAGAGUUGGACAAUGGAGGAAAGAAAAAAGAGAGAAAACAAGGAGAGAUGGUAGCACAGAAAGAAAACAAGACACCCAGGAUGAGCAGAGACUUAGAAAUCGUCCAAAAGAUACAGGAGGAAAGAAAGAAAAAAGAGAUGGAGAAAGCAGCACAGAAGGAGCAAAAAGAGGACGAGAGGAGAAAGAUAGAGAUUGAGGAGGAGAAAGCUAGAGAGGAGGAGAUAAAAGUGAUGACGGAGCAGAUGGAGAGAACUAAACCAGAGAUGGUGAGAAAGGAAAAGGAGGAGAGCCUGAGAGAAAAAGAAAGGGCCAAACUAAGAGAAGAGGAUGAGAGGAAAAAGGUAGAGAUUGAGAUGGAGAAAGCCAGAGAGGAGGAGAGAAAAGUGAGAGAAAGAGCGGAGAUGAGAAAGAUUGUAGAGGUGAUGAACAGGAGGUGGGAGGCUCUGCCAGGAGACAGAGAUGACAGCGACGGGGCGACUGACUCCGGUGCCUUGUGGAUGGAUGAGGUGGAGAAGAGGCGUCAAGUGGAGGUCAUAAACCCCCAAAACAAACCUCAGGAAGAGGGGGAGAGAGGACACACCCAGCCUGGAAGUGCCCAAGUAAACGUAGA